UACGUAGGCAGCGAGCGUUGUUCGGAGUUACUGGGCGUAAAGGGUGUGUAGGCGGUUCUUUAAGUUUGGUGUGAAAUCUCCCGGCUCAACCGGGAGGGUGCGCCGAAUACUGAGGAACUAGAGUACGGGAGAGGAAAGUGGAAUUCCUGGUGUAGCGGUGAAAUGCGCAGAUAUCAGGAAGAACACCCGUGGCGAAAGCGGCUCUCUGGAACGGUACUGACGCUGAGACGCGAAAGCGUGGGGAGCGAACAGG
This 253-nucleotide ribosomal RNA is filed under the name uncultured bacterium. Its description in RNAcentral is "partial 16S ribosomal RNA". It matches the Rfam family "Bacterial small subunit ribosomal RNA", at positions 524 to 776 of the family's 1533-position model. The record is from RNAcentral.